This 27-nucleotide non-coding RNA is filed under the name Bombyx mori (domestic silkworm). The record is from RNAcentral. Lineage: Eukaryota; Metazoa; Arthropoda; Insecta; Lepidoptera; Bombycidae.
UGAUAUAUCUGGUGAAUCUGGGUGUGC